Molecule: ribosomal RNA, 460 nt
Filed under: uncultured bacterium
Lineage: Bacteria
Description: partial 16S ribosomal RNA
Rfam family: Bacterial small subunit ribosomal RNA
Source: RNAcentral
CCUACGGGUGGCAGCAGUGAGGAAUAUUGGUCAAUGGACGAGAGUCUGAAUCAGCCAAGUAGCGUGAAGGAUGACUGCCCUAUGGUUUGUAAACUUCUUUUAUAUGGGAAUAAAAUGUUCCACGUGUGUGAUUAUGUAUGUACCAUAUGAAUAAGGACCGGCUAACUCCGGUCCAGCAGCCGCGGUAAUACGGAGGAUCCGAGCGUUAUCCGGAUUUAUUGGGUUUAAAGGGAACGUAGGUGGAUUGGUAAGUCAGUUGUGAAAGUUUUCGGCUCAACCGUAGAAUUGCAGUUGAAACUGGCAGUCUUGAGUACAGUAGAGGUGGGCGGAAUUCGUGGUGUAGCGGUGAAAUGCUUAGAUAUCACGAAGAACUCCGAUUGCGAAGGCAGCUCACUGGACUGCAACUGACGCUGAGGCUCGAAAGUGUGGGUAUCAAACAGGAUUAGAUACCCCUGUAGUC